Molecule: transfer RNA, 72 nt
Filed under: Heterocephalus glaber (naked mole-rat)
Lineage: Eukaryota; Metazoa; Chordata; Mammalia; Rodentia; Bathyergidae
Rfam family: tRNA
About the family: Transfer RNA (tRNA) molecules are approximately 80 nucleotides in length. Their secondary structure includes four short double-helical elements and three loops (D, anti-codon, and T loops).
Source: Rfam by way of RNAcentral
GGGGAUGUAGCUCAGUGGCACAGCACCUGCCUCGAAAGUGCAAGGUCCUAAGUUUGAGUCCUAGUACCCCCC